UGGGGAGUACGGCCGCAAGGUUAAAACUCAAAUGAAUUGACGGGGGCCCGCACAAGCGGUGGAGCAUGUGGUUUAAUUCGAUGCAACGCGAAGAACCUUACCUACUCUUGACAUCCAGAGAAUUUAGCAGAGAUGCUUUAGUGCCUUCGGGAACUCUGAGACAGGUGCUGCAUGGCUGUCGUCAGCUCGUGUUGUGAAAUGUUGGGUUAAGUCCCGCAACGAGCGCAACCCUUAUCCUUUGUUGCCAGCGAUUCGGUCGGGAACUCAAAGGAGACUGCCGGUGAUAAACCGGAGGAAGGUGGGGAUGACGUCAAGUCAUCAUGGCCCUUACGAGUAGGGCUACACACGUGCUACAAUGGCGUAUACAAAGAGAAGCGACCCCGCGAGAGCAAGCGGAACUCAUAAAGUACGUCGUAGUCCGGAUUGGAGUCUGCAACUCGACUCCAUGAAGUCGGAAUCGCUAGUAAUCGUAGAUCAGAAUGCUACGGUGAAUACGUUCCCCGGCCUUGUACACACCGCCCGUCACACCAUGGGAGUGGGUUGCAAAAGAAGUAGGUAGCUUAACCUUCGGGAGGGCGCUUACCACUUUGUGAUUCAUGACUGGGGUGAAGUCGUAAACAAGGUAGCCGUAAG
RNAcentral lists this ribosomal RNA (633 nucleotides) under uncultured bacterium. RNAcentral's name for it is "bacterial SSU rRNA". It matches the Rfam family "Bacterial small subunit ribosomal RNA", at positions 874 to 1506 of the family's 1533-position model. The record is from RNAcentral.